This 440-nucleotide ribosomal RNA is filed under the name uncultured bacterium. RNAcentral describes it as "partial 16S ribosomal RNA". It matches the Rfam family "Bacterial small subunit ribosomal RNA", at positions 338 to 795 of the family's 1533-position model. The record is from RNAcentral.
CCUGCGGGAGGCAGCAGUGGGGAAUAUUGGGCAAUGGGCGCAAGCCUGACCCAGCAAUGCCGCGUGAAGGAAGAAGGCUCUCGGGUUGUAAACUUCUUUCGGACGUGACGAUGAUGACGGUAGCGUCUAAAGAAGCACCGGCAAACUUCGUGCCAGCAGCCGCGGUAAUACGAAGGGUGCGAGCGUUGUUCGGAAUUACUGGGCGUAAGGGGAGUGUAGGCGGAUAUGUAAGAUAGCGGUGAAAUGCCGGGGCUCAACCCCGGAACUGCCAUUAUGACUAUGUAUCGAGAGUAAUGGAGAGGAUAGCGGAAUACCCAGUGUAGAGGUGAAAUUCGUAGAUAUUGGGUAGAACACCGGUGGCGAAGGCGGCUAUCUGGCCAUUUACUGACGCUGAGGCUCGAAAGCAUGGGGAUCAAACAGGAUUAGAUACCCGAGUAGUC